UUAGGCCGAAAGAGCAGCCAGAGCCUUCCCUCAAUGUCUGUUUUACAGAGAGCAAGGCUGAGGCUGUUCUCAGAGCCUGA
MicroRNA precursor from Taeniopygia guttata (zebra finch), 80 nucleotides. Lineage: Eukaryota; Metazoa; Chordata; Aves; Passeriformes; Estrildidae. The record is from Ensembl.